RNAcentral lists this long non-coding RNA (776 nucleotides) under Meleagris gallopavo (turkey). Its description in RNAcentral is "lncRNA (ENSMGAG00000021769.1)". Lineage: Eukaryota; Metazoa; Chordata; Aves; Galliformes; Phasianidae. The record is from RNAcentral.
AAAAAGAGAGAAGGAAAGAGAAAAGAAAAUUAAAUUCCUUUAAAAACAUGUAUAUAAAAAUCACAUUUUCUCAUAUUGAGCGGGGACUUUCACCGAGGCAAUUACUGCAGUUGCUCCCAUUGUCUCUCCCAGUGAGCUCUGGUUCGCUCUGCCUUCUCCUCCUCCUGCCAUGCAGACCCAUUGAGCUCUGCCCCACCAUGGACGGAGCCACCGGGGCCACCUUCUGUCCCACAGAGCCCCCAGCCCCACCUUCUGCCUCCGCCCCCCCAGCUGUGUGCCCCCCUAUGGGGCUGCUGCAGCUGAACAUCGAGGCCGUGCCACGCUGCGUCUCCCCCGAACGUGGUGGACAGACCCUGCCUCAAGCUGAAGGUUUACGUUCGGCCGACGAACGAUUCCCUCUAUGAGUCCCCAGAGCCCAUCUUCACCAGCAACAACUCGUGCUGCAGCCUUGCAGUGCCGCGUGCCGUGCUGGUGGCUGCGCCGGUCUUCUGGACUCUGCUGGGCUCCUAGCGCCGCGGGACGGACGGACGGACGGACGGGACGGGACAGCCUCAGCACCACCACGGGACAGAACUGGGGCUGCACCACUGCCAGGAGCCUCACUGCACCCUGCCCGACCACAUCCUGCCCUGCACUGCAGCAGGGAAUGGGGACCCCGCCGUGCGCACGGAUUGCGCCCAUCCCCGCGGCAGCGACCCUCCCGUAGGAUGCUGCUUUUUACAUUUCUAGACCAAAUAUAGAGUCCUGUUGGGUGGUUUUUGGUUUUGGUUUUUGGU